CCUACGGGUGGCAGCAGUGAGGAAUAUUGGUCAAUGGACGAGAGUCUGAACCAGCCAAGUAGCGUGAAGGAUGACUGCCCUAUGGGUUGUAAACUUCUUUUAUAUGGGAAUAAAAUGUUCCACGUGUGGGAUUUUGUAUGUACCAUAUGAAUAAGGAUCGGCUAACUCCGUGCCAGCAGCCGCGGUAAUAGGGGGGAGCCGAGCGUUAUCCGGAUUUAUUGGGUUUAAAGGGAGCGUAGGUGGAUUGUUAAGUCAGUUGUGAAAGUUUGCGGCUCAACCGUAAAAUUGCAGUUGAAACGGGCAGUCUUGAGUACAGUAGAGGUGGGCGGAAUUCGUGGUGUAGCGGUGAAAUGCUUGGAUAUCACGAAGAACUCCGAUUGCGAAGGCAGCUCACUGGACUGCAACUGACGCUGAGGAGCGAAAGCGUGGGUAGCAAACAGGAUUAGAUACCCCAGUAGUC
This 460-nucleotide ribosomal RNA is filed under the name uncultured bacterium. RNAcentral's name for it is "partial 16S ribosomal RNA". It matches the Rfam family "Bacterial small subunit ribosomal RNA", at positions 338 to 795 of the family's 1533-position model. The record is from RNAcentral.